This 468-nucleotide ribosomal RNA is filed under the name uncultured bacterium. Its description in RNAcentral is "partial 16S ribosomal RNA". It matches the Rfam family "Bacterial small subunit ribosomal RNA", at positions 28 to 507 of the family's 1533-position model. The record is from RNAcentral.
GACGAACGCUGGCGGCGUGCUUAACACAUGCAAGUCGAACGGUGAUGCCCCAGCUUGCUGGAGUGGAUGAGUGGCGAACGGGUGAGUAACACGUGAGCAACCUGCCCUUGACUCUGGGAUAAGCGCUGGAAACGGCGUCUAAUACUGGAUACGAAACUGGCCUGCAUGGGCAUGGUUUGGAAAGUUUUUCGGUUUGGGAUGGCCUCGCGGCCUAUCAGCUUGUUGGUGGGGUAAUGGCUCACCAAGGCGACGACGGGUAGCCGGCCUGAGAGGGCGACCGGCCACACUGGGACUGAGACACGGCCCAGACUCCUACGGGAGGCAGCAGUGGGGAAUAUUGCACAAUGGGCGGAAGCCUGAUGCAGCGACGCCGCGUGAGGGAUGACGGCCUUCGGGUUGUAAACCGCUUUCGGCAGUGAAGAAGCGAAAGUGACGGUACCGGCAGAAGAAGCACCGGCUAACUACGUG